Non-coding RNA from Schizosaccharomyces pombe (fission yeast), 1478 nucleotides. Lineage: Eukaryota; Fungi; Ascomycota; Schizosaccharomycetes; Schizosaccharomycetales; Schizosaccharomycetaceae. The record is from the annotation of a GenBank genome assembly.
AAAUGUUUUCAGACAAAUAAUUAGCUAUACGAACAAAACACACCAAAACAAGUAAAUGAAUAGAAGAGAAGUAAAAACAGUAUAUCUCUUUUUAAUAGUUUGACGAGAGUCGUUAUUCCCAGUCAUCAUCGUCUUCAUCAUCGUCAUCAACUUUUCUAUUUGCUUCAUCCUUCACCUCAAGAGAACUUUGAGAAGCUUCUAUAUUACUGGAAGAUGAUACUUUAUUUUCCUCUUCUUCUUUAACUUCUCCAUCAACCUCUCCAUCAUGGCUUGCGGGUUGAGUUUCAAUUUGUAAGCCUUUUGAAACUGCUGACUCCAAAUCAUUGACGGUUUCAUCUAUCACUUCAGCUGCUGAAUUAUUCUCAGUAGUAUCUUCUUCACUUGAUUGCUUUUUUUCAUCAUUAACCUGUUCAUUGUCACUUUCUUCUUCAUCACUUCUUUCAUCUCCCCAACUAAAAAUUUCUUCUUCAUCGUUUCCUGAUUGAAUUGCCUUUAUCGGCUGUACAACCUCUUUAUGCCAAAAAAAUCGUUUCCAAAAAUCAUCAUAAGAAACUUCAGAAGGUACUAAAGAUUCCAUCUGUUUCCUUAAAUCAGGAUAUUCUUCCAAAAGUAAAGAGAUCUCUUCAGUUUUCCCAUCAAUGGAAAUUUCUUUUUCCCAGCUUUCAAACGUGAUCCCAUGAGAGGGUUCAGAGAUAAUUUGGGUAAAAGUAUUUUCGUUUUGAACAAGUUCCAACAACUGUCUCUCGUGGCGAUUUAAGAAAACAGACGAAGAGGCUUCGUGUGUAGGAGUCGAUACAUCGUCUUCUUUGGGUGAUAUCUGCAAUGCUUGAUCCAAAAAACCAUUCACUGUAGAUCCGAAGCCACUCCAGAAACUUCCUGCUGUUUCUUCUACUUUUCGCAAGUUUUCCAUAGCAGAAUUAACAGGUAUAUUUUCUUCAAGCUGUGAUUUUAAUUGCUGCAUUCCACUUGAGGCUUUUCCCUUUGUAUCAUCAAGAAAGUUUUCACUCUUUGAACGGUUAGUAACAAUGCCAUUAUUCGCAAUCAACACACCUUUUCUUUCAUUGAGUUCCAAAACAAACCAAACUUUCCAUUCGUCAGAUUCUGUAUAAAAUGUCAGUAAAUUCCGCGCCGUAAAUCAUCAUAAAGGAUAAAUUACAUUUAGAGCCGAACCCAUUUCUUCUUUCAGUUUUUCGUAUCCCUCUUCAUCAUCUUCUUCUGUAGUGGUUGUAGGUGCCAUAUAAUCGUACAAAUCCAUUUUGAAUAGUUUAAAAGAAAACUUAUGUACUUAGUUGUUAGAAUAAGCUCACAUGUGUUUGGUAGCAAACAAGCUAUAUAUGUUGUACUUGGCAGCAAGUGAAGAUAUUGUAUAGCCUACCGAAUAGUGACACGAUUAUGCUCGUAUUCUGACUAUGGACACUUAUACUAACUUAGUAUACUUCCAAUAAUACUUUUUAAUGAAAAAGGCAUUACACAAUCCA